This is an RNA transcript of Gossypium raimondii (Peruvian cotton), 1344 nucleotides long. It is a transcript of the gene named rhodanese-like/PpiC domain-containing protein 12, chloroplastic, with no coding region annotated. NCBI's taxonomy places the organism in Eukaryota, Viridiplantae, Streptophyta, Magnoliopsida, Malvales, Malvaceae. The record is from RefSeq and is a predicted model, not a curated record. The transcript has 10 exons.
CUUUUGGGCACCUAGUAAAUCACCCCAGUGAGUGAAGCGAUCUGAGUGAGAAGAGCGACGAUGUUAAGAGCGACGCAUUUCCCUCCCAUUGCAUCUCCUACUCUCCUUGUCCUUAGGAAAUGUUUCAUUCCCAUCCUCUCCGUCUCUUCCUUCCCUUCUUAUCCUCUUCAUAACCUCUCCUCUUUUUCUGCUUUUCACUCUUUCUUCUCACCUUCCCGCCCUUCUCUUCCAUCUCUAUCUCUCACUCAAUUCUCUCCCAUGCUGGGUCAUCCCCAUCUCAGACUAUCAGCUUCAUUUAACUCCGAGAGUAGCUAUGGAGAUAACAGAGAAAUAUUGGUGCAGCACUUGCUUCUAAAAGAAGAUGACGAGAAGCUCUUGUUGGAACUACAACAGAGAAUUGCUGGAGGGGAGGAUUUAAGUGACCUUGCCGUUGAGUACUCAAUUUGUCCAUCCAAACAAGAGGGGGGAAUGCUUGGAUGGGUGAGAAAGGGACAAAUGGUACCAGAAUUCGAGGAGGCUGCUUUCUGUGCACCUUUAAACAAAGUUGUGAAAUGUAAAACUAAUUUUGGAUGGCACUUGUUACAAGUUCUAUCUGAGAGGGAAGAGUCAUUGCUUAAAGACAUUCAACCAGAGGAGUUUCAUGCAAAAAUGCAAGACCCCAGUUUCAUUGAAGAGGCUCAGUUGAUAGAUGUCCGGGAACCUGAAGAAGUGUCUCAAGCAUCUUUGCCAGGAUUCCAGGUUCUUCCUCUCCGCCAGUUUGGAAGUUGGGGACCAGAAAUAACUAGCAAAUUUGAUCCAACAAAAGAUACAUACGUCUUAGUGUUAUUAUUCCUUUCCUGUUCGUGGAAGAAUAGGCUUGAAUCUCCCAUGAUUAUCAAAAUUUCCCUUGAGAGAUUAAAAUUGAUAUCUAUUACAAUUCUUUAUCCUCCGCUUGAACAAUUUGUGGCCACUGAAGAAGCAAUCUUCUAGCCAUGAGCUUCUUGUCACCAUGGCAUGCGGUCGUUACAGGUUGCCAAGUGGUUACAGACUCAGGGAUUUAGGAAAAUAUUUAAUAUAUCAGGGGGAAUACAUGCGUAUGCAACCAAGGUGGAUCCAUCAGUUCCUACUUACUGAGAUCCUCACGUAUCCAUUGCUCCUAUUUUCAUGUUUUCUUCACGUGUGUGGUUUCAGGCUCCAUAUUUUUGGGUUUGCCCUCCGUGGUAUUAUAGAGUUUAACAUUUCACAAUAAUUAGCAAGUCCAAAACUUAUUAUUGCUUAAUUAUGGUGGUUGUAUUGAGUAUCUGGAAUUAAGUGUAUUUCGAAAAAGUUCAUUUAAAUUCAAUAAAUAUGUAAAUUUUAUUAAAA